This 440-nucleotide ribosomal RNA is filed under the name uncultured bacterium. RNAcentral describes it as "bacterial SSU rRNA". It matches the Rfam family "Bacterial small subunit ribosomal RNA", at positions 338 to 775 of the family's 1533-position model. The record is from RNAcentral.
CCUACGGGGGGCUGCAGUGAGGAAUAUUGGUCAAUGGACGUAAGUCUGAACCAGCCAAGUAGCGUGCAGGAUGACUGCCCUAUGGGUUGUAAACUGCUUUUAUGCGGGGAUAAAGUCAGCCACGUGUGGUUGUUUGCAGGUACCGCAUGAAUAAGGACCGGCUAAUUCCGUGCCAGCAGCCGCGGUAAUACGGAAGGUCCAGGCGUUAUCCGGAUUUAUUGGGUUUAAAGGGAGCGUAGGCUGUUGGUUAAGCGUGUUGUGAAAUGUAGAUGCUCAACAUCUGAAUUGCAGCGCGAACUGUCCGACUUGAGUGCGCGGAAAGCAGGCGGAAUUCGUUGUGUAGCGGUGAAAUGCUUAGAUAUGACGAAGAACUCCGAUUGCGAAGGCAGCUUGCUGUAGCGUAACUGACGCUGAAGCUCGAAAGUGCGGGUAUCGAACAG